Molecule: long non-coding RNA, 756 nt
Organism: Dermochelys coriacea (leatherback sea turtle)
Lineage: Eukaryota; Metazoa; Chordata; Testudines; Dermochelyidae
Exons: 3
Source: RefSeq, a predicted model, not a curated record
CAGAGGGGAACCAGAACAGAGGUGAAGGGACUUGCCCAAGGUCAUCUUGAAGGUCAGUGGCUGACCUAGGAAUAGAACCCAGGCCGUAUCCAUUGGACAACAUUGCCUGAAAGACUAGAGUUCAAACCAUCUAUAGAGGAUCUGCAAAAUUUUCAUUUUAGGCUGUUAUUUCUACACACCCUCCCCCAUCCUCUCCAUAUGGAACAGAAUAAAGUUAAGAGACAUCAUUUUCAAAGAAUAAAGACUUGGAUGGAGCCCCUGUUUUCUUGUGAGUCUGCUACAGCUGUUAAUUUGUGGAAAACCUCAGUGGAAGGUAAGCAAUAUGGCAGCAUCAUUUUACAUGAGAAUUCAGAAAUGGCCUUAUUCCAAACCUUGGCUGAUUUAGGCUCUUGGCUUUCAUAGAGAAAGCUUUGUGUAGUGUCAUGCUUUUUUUUUUUUUAUAGAUGAUGUUGAUGCAGCUGUGAAAGGUUCUGAUAUUCUUUAAUGUGGAAUUGUCGUCAUUCAGUCAAACUAAAGUAUUGUGGAGUUGUGAUCUUGUUUGUCUUUGCUCAUCAGACAUUAGUGGGGUGAAUUAAAGCAGCAUUCUUGGAUCCAUGGGAUCUCCGUUUCAUGGUCGGAGGGAAAUAAAGUGUUGGGAAGAAAGAGGAAGCCAGAGAUGGGCUGUCCCUUUGAGGAGUCUGGGAGAGGAAGAUCAAGGAGUUUGGGGAAUGGAAAGUACUCUGUGGAUGGGCAUGAUGUUUUCUGGAGGCGUCUGAA